Molecule: non-coding RNA, 149 nt
Filed under: Pseudo-nitzschia fraudulenta
Lineage: Eukaryota; Bacillariophyta; Bacillariophyceae; Bacillariales; Bacillariaceae
Also listed under: 1 other name
Source: RNAcentral
GUCUGGUUCAUGGUGGCCUCCAUCAUGGGCGUGGUUGCCAGCCUCAUCUGCAGAGCUUGGCACGUGCCGCGAAGGACUGAGGAGGAGAUUUCCGGUGAGGCGUGUAGCUCGUGGGGAGCACAGAGCAGCGAUUCUGAAAUCUUCGACUC